GUCCCAGUAGUAUAAAUAUUACUCUGGUCU
RNAcentral lists this transfer RNA (30 nucleotides) under Oryctolagus cuniculus (rabbit). RNAcentral's name for it is "partial transfer RNA-Thr". The record is from RNAcentral. Lineage: Eukaryota; Metazoa; Chordata; Mammalia; Lagomorpha; Leporidae.